Molecule: ribosomal RNA, 322 nt
Filed under: uncultured bacterium
Lineage: Bacteria
Description: bacterial SSU rRNA
Rfam family: Bacterial small subunit ribosomal RNA
Source: RNAcentral
CCUACGGGUGGCACCAGUGGGGAAUAUUGGACAAUGGGGGGAACCCUGAUCCAGCCAUGCCGCGUGUGUGAAGAAGGCCUUAUGGUUGUAAAGCACUUUAAGCGAGGAGGAGGCUACUAGUACUAAUACUACUGGAUAGUGGACGUUACUCGCAGAAUAAGCACCGGCUAACUCUGUGCCAGCAGCCGCGGUAUACAGAGGGUGCGAGCGUUAAUCGGAUUUACUGGGCGUAAAGCGUGCGUAGGCGGCCAUUUAAGUCAAAUGUGAAAUCCCCGAGCUUAACUUGGGAAUUGCGUUCGAUACUGGAUGGCUAGAGUAUGGG